This 858-nucleotide long non-coding RNA is filed under the name Marmota monax (woodchuck). Lineage: Eukaryota; Metazoa; Chordata; Mammalia; Rodentia; Sciuridae. The record is from RNAcentral.
GUAAGUAUUAGGGUUCCUUUAGGGUUUAGGUUAGGGUUUGUGUUAGGGAUAGGGUUAGGGUUAGAGUUAGGGUUUUUGAUAGAUUUAGCAUUAGGGUUAAUGUUAUUGUUAGUUUUACGAUUAGGGUUAGGGGUAGUGUUAGGGUGAGAAUUAGGGUUAGGUUUAGAAUUAGGGUUAGCGUUUGGGUUAGGGUUCGUGUUAUGGUUAGGGUUAGGGUUAGUGUUAGGGUUAGGGUUAGGGAUAGGUUUAUUAUUAGUGUUAGGUUUAAAAUUAGGGUUAGUGUUAGGAUUAGGGUUAGCAUUAGGGGUAGUGUUAGGGUGAGAAUUAGGGUUAGGUUAGGGUUAGUGUUCGUGUUAGGUUUAGGGUUAGGGAUAUGUUUAGGAUUAGUGUUAGGGUUAAAAUUGGAGUUAGUGUUAUGCUUAGGGUUAGGGUUAAGUUUAAGUUUAGUGUUAGGUUUAGGGCAGGUUUAGGGUUAGUGUUAGGGUAAGGGUUAGGGUUAGGGUUAGGUAAGAGUUAGAGUUAAGAUUAGGCUAGAUUUAGGGUUGUGGCUUGGGUUAUGAUUUGUGUUAAGGUUAGGGUUAGGGUUAGGUUUUCUGUUAGGUUUAGGGAUAGGUUAUGGGUUUGUGUAAGGAUAACUGUUAGAGUUAGUGUUAGGUUUGAUGUUAGGGUUAGGGCUAGGUUUAGUGUUAGGGUUAGGUGUAAGUUUUUAGUUAGGGUUAGGGUUAGAGUUAGGAUUAGUGUUGUGCUUAGGGUUAGAGUUAGGUUUAGGGUUUGUGUUAGGGUUAGGUUUAGAGAUAGUGUUAGGAAUAGGGUUAGGGUGAGGGUGAGGUUUAGAGUAAGGAUUAGGGUUAGUGUUAG